Molecule: ribosomal RNA, 492 nt
Filed under: uncultured bacterium
Lineage: Bacteria
Description: partial 16S ribosomal RNA
Rfam family: Bacterial small subunit ribosomal RNA
Source: RNAcentral
AGUGAACGCUGGCGGUAGGCCUAACACAUGCAAGUCGAACGGCAGCACAGUAAGAGCUUGCUCUUACGGGUGGCGAGUGGCGGACGGGUGAGGAAUACAUCGGAAUCUACUUUUUCGUGGGGGAUAACGUAGGGAAACUUACGCUAAUACCACAUACGACCUACGGGUGAAAGCAGGGGAUCUUCGGACCUUGCGCGAUUGAAUGAGCCGAUGUCGGAUUAGCUAGUUGGCGGGGUAAAGGCCCACCAAGGCGACGAUCCGUAGCUGGUCUGAGAGGAUGAUCAGCCACACUGGAACUGAGACACGGUCCAGACUCCUACGGGAGGCAGCAGUGGGGAAUAUUGGACAAUGGGCGCAAGCCUGAUCCAGCCAUACCGCGUGGGUGAAGAAGGCCUUCGGGUUGUAAAGCCCUUUUGUUGGGCAAGAAAAGCAGCAGGUUAAUACCCCGCUGUUCUGACGGUACCCAAAGAAUAAGCACCGGCUAACUUCGUG